RNAcentral lists this ribosomal RNA (529 nucleotides) under uncultured Acidobacteriota bacterium. RNAcentral's name for it is "bacterial SSU rRNA". It matches the Rfam family "Bacterial small subunit ribosomal RNA", at positions 376 to 896 of the family's 1533-position model. Lineage: Bacteria; Pseudomonadati; Acidobacteriota. The record is from RNAcentral.
CGCAAGCCUGAUCCAGCAACGCCGCGUGGAGGACGAAGGUCUUCGGAUCGUAAACUCCUGUCAGGCGGGACGAAGGUUUCCGGGCGAACAGUCCGGAAGCUUGACGGUACUGCCAGAGGAAGCCCCGGCUAACUCCGUGCCAGCAGCCGCGGUAAUACGGAGGGGGCUAGCGUUAUUCGGAAUUAUUGGGCGUAAAGGGCGCGUAGGCGGCCCGGUAAGUCAAAGGUGAAAUCCCUCGGCUCAACUGAGGAACUGCCUUUGAAACUGUCGGGCUUGAGGCCGGGAGGGGGUAGCGGAAUUCCCAGUGUAGCGGUGAAAUGCGUAGAUAUUGGGAGGAACACCGGUGGCGAAGGCGGCUACCUGGACCGGUUCUGACGCUGAUGCGCGAAAGCGUGGGUAGCAAACAGGAUUAGAUACCCUGGUAGUCCACGCUGUAAACGAUGAGUGCUCGGUGUCGCGGGUAUCGACCCCUGCGGUGCCUUAGCUAACGCGUUAAGCACUCCGCCUGGGGAGUACGGUCGCAAGGCUG